RNAcentral lists this ribosomal RNA (261 nucleotides) under Listeria monocytogenes. Its description in RNAcentral is "partial 16S ribosomal RNA". It matches the Rfam family "Bacterial small subunit ribosomal RNA", at positions 1274 to 1533 of the family's 1533-position model. Lineage: Bacteria; Bacillati; Bacillota; Bacilli; Caryophanales; Listeriaceae. The record is from RNAcentral.
CCAUAAAACUAUUCUCAGUUCGGAUUGUAGGCUGCAACUCGCCUACAUGAAGCCGGAAUCGCUAGUAAUCGUGGAUCAGCAUGCCACGGUGAAUACGUUCCCGGGCCUUGUACACACCGCCCGUCACACCACGAGAGUUUGUAACACCCGAAGUCGGUAGGGUAACCUUUAUGGAGCCAGCCGCCGAAGGUGGGACAGAUAAUUGGGGUGAAGUCGUAACAAGGUAGCCGUAUCGGAAGGUGCGGCUGGAUCACCUCCUUU